AGAGUUUGAUCCUGGCUCAGGACGAACGCUGGCGGCACGCUUAACACAUGCAAGUCGAACGAGAGAAGAGGAGCUUGCUUUUCUGAUCUAGUGGCGGACGGGUGAGUAACACGUGAGCAAUCUGCCUUUCAGAGGGGGAUACCGAUUGGAAACGAUCGUUAAUACCGCAUAACAUAAUUGAACCGCAUGAUUUGAUUAUCAAAGAUUUAUCGCUGAAAGAUGAGCUCGCGUCUGAUUAGCUAGUUGGUAAGGUAACGGCUUACCAAGGCGACGAUCAGUAGCCGGACUGAGAGGUUGAUCGGCCACAUUGGGACUGAGACACGGCCCAGACUCCUACGGGAGGCAGCAGUGGGGAAUAUUGCACAUGGAGGAAACUCUGAUGCAGCGAUGCCGCGUGAGGGAAGAAGGUUUUAGGAUUGUAAACCUCUGUCUUCAGGGACGAAAAAAGACGGUACCUGAGGAGGAAGCUCCGGCUAACUACGUGCCAGCAGCCGCGGUAAUACGUAGGGAGCGAGCGUUGUCCGGAAUUACUGGGUGUAAAGGGAGCGUAGGCGGGAUCGCAAGUCAGAUGUGAAAACUAUGGGCUUAACCCAUAAACUGCAUUUGAAACUGUGGUUCUUGAGUGAAGUAGAGGUAAGCGGAAUUCCUAGUGUAGCGGUGAAAUGCGUAGAUAUUAGGAGGAACAUCAGUGGCGAAGGCGGCUUACUGGGCUUUAACUGACGCUGAGGCUCGAAAGCGUGGGGAGCAAACAGGAUUAGAUACCCUGGUAGUCCACGCCGUAAACGAUGAUUACUAGGUGUGGGGGGACUGACCCCUUCCGUGCCGCAGCAAACGCAAUAAGUAAUCCACCUGGGGAGUACGACCGCAAGGUUGAAACUCAAAGGAAUUGACGGGGGCCCGCACAAGCAGUGGAGUAUGUGGAUUAAUUCGAAGCAACGCGAAGAACCUUACCAGGUCUUGACAUCGUAUGCAUAGCUCAGAGAUGAGUGAAAUCUCUUCGGAGACAUAUAGACAGGUGGUGCAUGGUUGUCGUCAGCUCGUGUCGUGAGAUGUUGGGUUAAGUCCCGCAACGAGCGCAACCCUUACUGUUAGUUGCUACGCAAGAGCACUCUAGCAGGACUGCCGUUGACAAAACGGAGGAAGGUGGGGAUGACGUCAAAUCGUCAUGCCCCUUAUGACCUGGGCCUCACACGUACUACAAUGGCUGUCAACAGAGGGAAGCAAAGCCGCGAGGUGGAGCGAACCCCUAAAAGCAGUCUUAGUUCGGAUUGUAGGCUGCAACCCGCCUACAUGAAGUCGGAAUUGCUAGUAAUCGCAGAUCAGCAUGCUGCGGUGAAUACGUUCCCGGGCCUUGUACACACCGCCCGUCACGCCAUGGGAGUCGGUAACACCCGAAGCCUGUAGUCUAACCGCAAGGAGGACGCAGUCGAAGGUGGGAUUGAUGACUGGGGUGAAGUCGUAACAAGGUA
This 1469-nucleotide ribosomal RNA is filed under the name metagenome. RNAcentral describes it as "bacterial SSU rRNA". It matches the Rfam family "Bacterial small subunit ribosomal RNA". The record is from RNAcentral.